This 697-nucleotide long non-coding RNA is filed under the name Equus caballus (horse). RNAcentral's name for it is "lncRNA (ENSECAG00000052801.1)". The record is from RNAcentral. Lineage: Eukaryota; Metazoa; Chordata; Mammalia; Perissodactyla; Equidae.
GUGGUAAAGAGAGCUUACCAGAGGAAGCAGCCCCUGAGGCAACUGAAGGAGCCUCUAAAGUGUUGGCUGUGGUUCAAGCCUGGCCAAUAAGAGCCUCACACCGGCCACAGUGAUUGGGAUGGGUGCAUCACCCAAUUAGAGCCAGAAAGAAGCAUCUUGGACUUUUGUUGAGCCUGUAAGACAAGUACGCCUUGGCAUCUACUUGUUUGAACAUGGUCCUUCUGGUUGUUCUAUGUGGGACACCACCUCAGCAUGGCAUGAUGAGCAGUGCCAUGUCUGCACCCAGGAUCCAAACUGGUGAAACCCUGGGCAGCCAAAGCAGAGCCUGCAAACUUAACCACUUGGCCCCCGGGCUGGCCCCAUAUGCAUGCAUUUCUAUUGGAUAUAUUCUCAAGAGUAGAACUGCUAGGUCAUAGAGUAUACAUAUGUUCAACUUUAGAAUAUAUUGCCAAAUUAUGUUCCAAAGUGAUUGUACCAAUUUACUCUUCCACCCUGGUGCGUAUCUGUUGCUUAACAUUGUAGGCAGCAUUUGGUAUUACCAGUCUUUUAUGUAUGGAUGUGUAGUAUAUCAUAUUGCAUUUUCAUAAUUACUAAUGAGGCUGAAUGCUAAUGAAAUAUACUUUUCAUAUGGCCAUUUGGAUAUCCUUUUCCCAGAAGGGACUGUUAAGCAUUUGGCCUACUUUUUUAUUGAGUUGGC